GUAGUGACGAAAAAUANCGAUGCAGAACUCANUCCGAGGCUCUGCAAUCGGAAUGGGUACACUCUAAAUCAUUUAACGAGUAUCAAUUGGAGGACAAGUCUGGUGCCAGCACCCGCGGUAAUUCCAGCUCCAAUAGCGUAUAUUAAAGUUGUUGCGGUUAAAAAGCUCGUAGUUGGAUCUGUGUUCUAAGCUGUCGGUUCACCGUUUUGAUGGUGUUUAACUGACAUGUCUUUGAACGUCCUGCCGGUUGGUAACGUGUCUUCUCCUUCACGGGAGGGAUGCGUUUGCCAGUUCAAAUCCUGUCUUGAUUCUCUUCAUUGAGUGUUGAGGCGGGCCGGCACGUUUACCUUGAACAAAUUUGAGUGCUUAAAGCAGGCUUCAAUUGCCGGAAAACUGUGUGCAUGGAAUAAUAUAAUAGGACCGCGGUUCUAUUUUGUUGGUUUUCAGAAUCCGAGGUAAUGAUUAAUAGGGACUGGCGGGGGCAUUAGUAUUGCGACGUUAGAGGUGAAAUUCUUGGAUCGUCGCAAGACUAACCUAAGCGAAAGCAUUUGCCAAGGAUGCUUCCAUUAAUCAAGAACGAAAGUUAGAGGUUCGAAGGCGAUCAGAUACCGCCCUAGUUCUANCCAUAAACGAUGCCAGCCAGCGAUCCGUCGACGUUCUUUUAUGACUCGACGGGCAGCUUCCGGUAAACUAAAGCAUUUGGGUUCCGGGGGAAGUAUGGUUGCAAAGCUGAAACUUAAAGGAAUUGACGGAAAGGCACCACCAGGAGUGGAGCCUGCGGCUUAAUUUGACUCAACACGGGAAAUCUCACCAGGCCAGNACNCCAGGUGGAUUGACAGANNGAGAGCUCNUU
RNAcentral lists this ribosomal RNA (853 nucleotides) under Metylophorus novaescotiae. RNAcentral's name for it is "SSU rRNA". It matches the Rfam family "Eukaryotic small subunit ribosomal RNA", at positions 464 to 1260 of the family's 1831-position model. Lineage: Eukaryota; Metazoa; Arthropoda; Insecta; Psocodea; Psocidae. The record is from RNAcentral.